This 548-nucleotide long non-coding RNA is filed under the name Elaeis guineensis (African oil palm). RNAcentral describes it as "long non-coding RNA (EGUI_LNC009227)". The record is from RNAcentral. Lineage: Eukaryota; Viridiplantae; Streptophyta; Magnoliopsida; Arecales; Arecaceae.
UAGUUUGUGAUAUUACUCAUGAUGUAAGACAAACAAGUGACACCUCGCAUCAAGAUAUGGACAUGAAACAACUGUUCCAGAGCAUUAAAGUACUCCUAGAAGAAAGUACAUCAAGAUAUGCAGUGUUCUAUUUUAAAAACAAUCAAAUGUUGCAGUGUCAAGAUAUCGUAUAGUUUGUGAUAUUACUCAUGAUGUAAGACAAACAAGUGACACCUCGCAUCAAGAUAUGGACAUGAAACAACUGUUCCAGAGCAUUAAAGUACUCCUAGAAGAAAGUACAUCAAGAUAUGCCAUAUCGGCAAGAUGAAAUUGUCAUCAGCUUGAGAAAUAACAAUUAAAAAACAAGUUAAAAGUAUCGAUGGAAAUCCCAAUCAGCAACUUCAGUAUCAUAUCUCCCUGCAUUUCAAAAGUAAUUUUUUUAGCUAUCUACACUUUGAGAAUACAGAUAAACAAACUUGGACAGAUAGAAGUGUAAAAUCAGCAUAUAAACCUGACUCGUGAUUUGUGACAAUGUCUACCAGAAUAUAUGGCAUUACUCAGAUAACCCA